RNAcentral lists this ribosomal RNA (525 nucleotides) under uncultured bacterium. RNAcentral describes it as "bacterial SSU rRNA". It matches the Rfam family "Bacterial small subunit ribosomal RNA", at positions 984 to 1509 of the family's 1533-position model. The record is from RNAcentral.
ACAUCCAGAGAACUUAGCAGAGAUGCUUUGGUGCCUUCGGGAACUCUGAGACAGGUGCUGCAUGGCUGUCGUCAGCUCGUGUUGUGAAAUGUUGGGUUAAGUCCCGNAACGAGCGCAACCCUUAUCCUUUGUUGCCAGCGGCUCGGCCGGGAACUCAAAGGAGACUGCCGGUGAUAAACCGGAGGAAGGUGGGGAUGACGUCAAGUCAUCAUGGCCCUUACGGCCAGGGCUACACACGUGCUACAAUGGCGCAUACAAAGAGAAGCGACCUCGCGAGAGCAAGCGGACCUCAUAAAGUGCGUCGUAGUCCGGAUUGGAGUCUGCAACUCGACUCCAUGAAGUCGGAAUCGCUAGUAAUCGUAGAUCAGAAUGCUACGGUGAAUACGUUCCCGGGCCUUGUACACACCGCCCGUCACACCAUGGGAGUGGGUUGCAAAAGAAGUAGGUAGCUUAACCUCCGGGAGGGCGCUUACCACUUUGUGAUUCAUGACUGGGGUGAAGUCGUAACAAGGUAGGCGUAGACGU